Molecule: ribosomal RNA, 459 nt
Filed under: uncultured bacterium
Lineage: Bacteria
Description: partial 16S ribosomal RNA
Rfam family: Bacterial small subunit ribosomal RNA
Source: RNAcentral
CCUACGGGUGGCUGCAGUGAGGAAUAUUGGUCAAUGGGCGGGAGCCUGAACCAGCCAAGCCGCGUGAGGGAAGAAGGCGCCAAGCGUCGUAAACUUCUUUUGCCGGGGAACAAAGGGCGCCACGUGUGGCGUUGUGAGUGUACCCGAAGAAAAAGCAUCGGCUAACUCAGUUCCAGCAGCCGCGGUAAUACAGAGGAUGCGAGCGUUAUCCGGAUUUAUGGGGUUGAAGGGGUGCGUAGGCGGACCGGAAAGUCAGCGGUAAAAGCCCGGGGCUCAACCCCGGGGAGCCGUUGAAACUGGCGGACUAGAGAGGGCGAGAAGUACGCGGAAUGCGCGGUGUAGGGGUGAAAUGCAUAGAUAUCGCGCAGAACUCCGAUGGCGAAGGCAGCGUACCGGCGCCUGACUGACGCUGAGGCACGAAAGCGUGGGUAUCGAACAGGAUUAGAUACCCCAGUAGUC